This is a long non-coding RNA of Lotus japonicus, 5521 nucleotides long. RefSeq lists it as uncharacterized. The transcript is spliced from 5 exons. NCBI's taxonomy places the organism in Eukaryota, Viridiplantae, Streptophyta, Magnoliopsida, Fabales, Fabaceae. The record is from RefSeq and is a predicted model, not a curated record.
AUCAAUUCGUACCGGUUUUAUAAAUAUCUUCCCUAAAUAUCUAAUAAUCCAUCCUCAUCCUCUGUGACUCACGUUCACUCCCUCCUUUUCUUUCAUUUGUCACGUUUCUUUCUUUCUCUUGCAGCAGACCAUAAUCUUUCUUUCUUAUUCUUCUUCUUCUCUAUUUCUAUAUAUAUAUAUAUCUUACCACUUGUUGCAACUCACGUUCUCUCUCUCAGAAGCAUCACCACCAGACUUCAAUAUUUAUUCAUUUCCUUUCUUUUUAUUUCUUUUGCUGCAGCUCCCCAAUUCUUUCCACUUAUUCUUCCUCUCUUUUCUUUUCCCUGGGCAGCAUAAAAAAACGCACAUCAUGGUCCCUUUUCCUCCCUCACGUGAUUCCACUCUUGUGCAGCACCAUCAUCUUCAUCUUCCAAUUUUAUGGGUACGAAGGACGAAAACGCCUUGCGACGAAGCUAAAGAAUAGAAGGAAGCGAGCCGACGCGGAAAACAAAGAUGUGAUAGGAUUGGAGUUGCAGUUUAGGAAGAAAAUUGGCUAAGAUGUCGUCGAUGGAUUCUUUCGUGAUUCUUCGUCAUUCGGGGAAGACCCGGAGCGAAAUGACUACUACUGAGCCUUUGACGUGGACCCGGACUUCAUGCAUGACCAGAGGGGAGUCGAUGAUGGAAGUAUGGGGGAUGGGUGAUUAGGGUCUAUUAAGGUUGGGUGUUAGUGUCCUAGCUCUGACUUAUUCUUAUUUUUGAGGGCUUGUGUUGCUGACACUUGACCUAACAUUUUGGGAUUGUACAUUUUGCCUACGGGCGUUACACUUUUCUACUUUCCGUCAUUGGAGGUUACUCAUGACGAGGUCGCUAUUUACAGCGGGGGAUGCUAUAUAUAUUGUAUAUUAGUUCUGUUGCCUUUCGCAUUUGGGUUUUAUUUAAUUCAGUCUUGUCUUAGUUAUUAUCAAAAAAAAAAAAAUAUUUACGUUUUUCCGCAUUAAGUUUACUUUUGGUUACUAAAGUGACGCCACCGAAAUCGGGGUGUUACAUUGUGGUAUCAGAGCUUGUCGAGUCUUUCGGGAGUUGUUGGGGAAUAGGUCUUCUGUGCUAGGUUGUGUGACUCUGCAAGGAGUGAAAAUUGAUUGUCUGCAAGCGAUUUUUCGCUUAAAAAUUGAUUGAAGUUAUUGCUUACUCAUAUUGUAUAGUGAUGCCAGAGACUAUCUUGUGAUGAGUACUAACUGUUUUUUUGAGCUUUGACCUUAUAGUUAUUACACCUAUUAAGACUUUAUUUAACUGUUGCUCGUGUUUAAACUAUAGAAGUACACGAGGUUUAGGAUAACGCACUAAGCCUAGAAAGUAGUCUUCCCCGAUGCGUUUAAAAGGAAGCUAGAAGCUGAAGAAUGAAUCUCAUAGAGAUUCCUUAUGGAUAGUAUACGUAUGAUGUUGAGGGCGUGUAGUUCCGUAGCGGAAUCGUUGAGGAUGUGAUAUCAGGAUAUUUGUGACUACUGGAUGAUAGGAACUCAUUGACUGUUCCAGUGGGUUUUUCUAGAUUUCCACCUUCGAUGUAUUAGGCCUGAUCAACUUAAUAUUGAGGGGGUGAUAUUCGGAAUCACAACUGGCGAUGGACUUUGAUAGAAGGAUGUGUAAGAUGAAUUUGAAUUAGAUCGAAGAUUAGUCGAGUUUGGAAGUAAAAGUUCGCGUUAAGUAUUAGUUUUCUUGCGAAGGAGUUAUAGUUUUAAGAAAUGGAUAUUCAUUUAAGAAGUAUUGAAGAAUUAAAGGAUAUUAGAGGUCCAAACUUAGUGAAGGCUUAGAUUUUAGAUCAAUCGCUUUGAUCACGAACGUGUGAGACAUGAAGUCUUGUCAAGUUUUGAUCGAAAGACUAAGUAUUGGAAUGAUUGGAGGAUGAUCAAAUUACCGAAAGGGAAGUGUUCGUAUCAAGAUGAAUACUUGAGGUAUAGUUAUGAUUGGAUCUUCUAGAGGAUAAGCCUCGAUUUAUGCGAAGUGUUAGGGAUUUCAAUAAGUCUAAAUUGGUUUGAGUGAGGAAGGUUUUGAGGACGAAGACGACAAUAAUGGAUUGUUAGAUAGUAAGAGGGUGAUUAGCUUAUGAGUGGUUGAUGAAUUUAUGAUUAAGGGAAUCAGUCUUGUUCUGUACGAGGUAAUAAGACUCAAGUCGAGUUUUAAAUUUGAAUGGUGACUAAGUAGAAGAUUGAUUUCAUGGUGCGAAUGAGGAUAAUUACGAAGUUGGAAGUGACGUUAAUGGACUAGUAGAUUCCAAGGCAAUAGUUCGUCUAGGAGUUAUCAAGCGAUCGAGUUGAGUUUUGGAUCAUGAGUGCUUUAGUGAAAGUUAUUUGGAACAAAGACACGGACGAUGCUAUAUGGGAGUUAGAGGAAAAGAUCAAGGAAUAAUAUCCGGAGCUUUUUACUGAACCCUAAGUUUCGAGGACGAAACUUUCUUUUUGGAGGGUAGUAAUGUAAGACCCAAGUUUUUAAGUUUAGGAGGAGUAAAUAAAAUUCCUAUUCACGAUUAGAUUUGAUGGAUCGUGAAGGGAAACCUGAACAAGAGUUUAUGGAAUGGAAUAAAUUUAUGAAGGAGAAAGUUCAGGAAAAGUCUAAGUAUUAUAUCAAAAUCGAUAGAAGUUAUAGCACGACUAACAUUCGCUUUAACCUAGGUCAAGAACGCUAGUAAAUAGCUAAUUUACUCUUUAAGGCACGAUGGAAACUAAUUCCAAAAAUCUUCAGAGAAAUGUUAGAACUUCUCUUAUUCGUCUAUAAACGAGCGUUUCGAUAUGGAACCCUGGAAUGUACGAACGACAAAUUCCAAUACUCGGAAGUUUGCCGAAACCGAAACCCUGAUAGUUCAGAAACCCUAGAAUCAACGGACGAUGAAGACUUUUUCUGUUCGGAGCUUCAAACGAAGAUUCCACACGCGUAGACCCAUUUCUUUCGAUGAUUCCAAUCUUUCUUCAGAAGGAAGUUUCUUCAUCCGACGUCAAACGCAAAAAGUAGUUUUGCGGCAUAUUUCAACCCAUACUACGUUCAAGCUAUUUUCUCACUUAAAUGAACCAGGAACAAGUAUCGACAUUUUAUAGAGAGAUACUUAACUCUGAUGCAUAAUAUGACAACUUCAUAUUUAUUCUGAUCGUCUCACAAAUAUUAUUUAGCUCAGUUUUUACUCAUUUCUUUGUCCAUGGAUCAUUUUAAUUUGCUCAAAGUGAUCCAAACUUAUAUUUCAUUAUUUCAUAGAGUCUCUCAUAAUUUUUGGUAUAGUAAUAUAUCAACUCUAUAUUUUUCUCUUAACUUUGUGAGCUAAAUUCUUCAGUGUCUAAAUCAAUUCGUACCGGUUUUAUAAAUAUCUUCCCUAAAUAUCUAAUAAUCCAUCCUCAUCCUCUGUGACUCACGUUCACUCCCUCCUUUUCUUUCAUUUGUCACGUUUCUUUCUUUCUCUUGCAGCAGACCAUAAUCUUUCUUUCUUAUUCUUCUUCUUCUCUAUUUCUAUAUAUAUAUAUCUUACCACUUGUUGCAACUCACGUUCUCUCUCUCAGAAGCAUCACCACCAGACUUCAAUAUUUAUUCAUUUCCUUUCUUUUUAUUUCUUUUGCUGCAGCUCCCCAAUUCUUUCCACUUAUUCUUCCUCUCUUUUCUUUCCACUGGGCAGCAUAAAAAAACGCACAUCAUGGUCCCUUUUCCUCCCUCACGUGAUUCCACUCUUGUGCAGCACCAUCAUCUUCAUCUUCCAAUUUUAUGGGUACGAAGGACGAAAACGCCUUGCGACGAAGCUAAAGAAUAGAAGGAAGCGAGCCGACGCGGAAAACAAAGAUGUGAUAGGAUUGGAGUUGCAGUUUAGGAAGAAAAUUGGCUAAGAUGUCGUCGAUGGAUUCUUUCGUGAUUCUUCGUCAUUCGGGGAAGACCCGGAGCGAAAUGACUACUACUAAGCCUUUGACGUGGACCCGGACUUCAUGCAUGACCAGAGGGGAGUCGAUGAUGGAAGUAUGGGGGAUGGGUGAUUAGGGUCUAUUAAGGUUGGGUGUUAGUGUCCUAGCUCUGACUUAUUCUUAUUUUUGAGGGCUUGUGUUGCUGACACUUGACCUAACAUUUUGGGAUUGUACAUUUUGCCUACGGGCGUUACACUUUUCUACUUUCCGUCAUUGGAGGUUACUCGUGACGAGGUCGCUAUUUACAGCGGGGGAUGCUAUAUAUAUUGUAUAUUAGUUCUGUUGCCUUUCGCAUUUGGGUUUUAUUUAAUUCAGUCUUGUCUUAGUUAUUAUCAAAAAAAAAAAAUAUUUACGUUUUUCCGCAUUAAGUUUACUUUUGGUUACUAAAGUGACGCCACCGAAAUCGGGGUGUUACAAAAACCAACAUCAUGAGAAAUGAUCAAUUCCACCAUCCCUUACUCCAGAGCAUUGAAGGCAAGCGACCCCUGAUAGUUGGGAUGAGUUAUAGUUACUCGCUUGCCACAUUAAAUCCAAGCCCCUAUGCAAACGAUCCUGCUUCAGGUACAUACGACCAAAGUGUGAUUGUCCAAUCAGGCUCAAGGAAAAACCAAGGGAGGAAGAUGGAGGUUUGUGGAGAUUGACUAUCAUAAGUGGAUACCACAAUCAUGAGUCAUCCACAUCGUUACUUGGCCAUGCAUAUGUCGGUCAAGUCAAGAAAAGAUCAUUGUGGGUGAAAUGGUUGACAACAAAGUAAAGCCAAGUAACAUGUUGCUAGCAUUGAAAAAUGUCAAUCCUCAAUAUUUGACAACCAUCAGGGAAGUGUACAAUCAACGAAUGACUUACAUUAAGGCCAAAAGGGGGGCUUGAACAAAAAUUCAGCACUUGAUGAAGUUCUUAGCGGAAGACAAGUACACGCACUAGUCAUGGUCUGAAGAGGGUUCCACUGUGGUUCGAUCUCUAUUAUGGGCAUAUCCAAUUUCUAUCCAGCAUUUAACCAAUUCUCUACUGUUGUGUUGAUUAAUACCACACGUACAAAACCAACAAGUAUAUGAUUCCUUUGCUGGAAAUGGUUGGUAUGACAUUAGUUGAAUACACAUACACCAUAGCUAUUGGAUACAUGUGCAAUGAGCGUGAACCUGAAGUUACAUGGGCGCUUGAAAAGCUAAGGGAGUUGAUACUUAGGGAGGAGGAUAUGCCAAAGGUCAUUGUAACUGACAAGGAUAAUGCUUUGAUAAACGCAGUUGCGACCACAUUUCCUACAUCUACUCAUUUCCUAUGCCAAUUCCAUAUUGCUAAGAAUGUGAAGGCAAAGUGCAAGCUUACAAUCCAACCCAAGGAGGUGUGGGAUGAAGUCGUGGACGCAUGGAGUAAUGACAUGUAUUCGGCAUCCGCCGCUGAGUUUCAUGCUAAUAUGGACUUCUUGCGUUCAUUUUUUGGGUAGCAAUCUGAGUUCAUGCAGUACAUCAAAAAUACUUGGUAGUCGUAUAAGAACAAGUUUCUGAAGGACGCCAUUAACCAUUACAUGCAUAUGGGGAACACAACAACAAACAUGUACAUUCUUAUUCACUCACAUUUGAUUCAAAAAAUGUUUCCUUAAUAUUAAUGUUAUUCAU